Non-coding RNA from Paramuricea clavata, 547 nucleotides. The record is from the annotation of a GenBank genome assembly. NCBI's taxonomy places the organism in Eukaryota, Metazoa, Cnidaria, Anthozoa, Malacalcyonacea, Plexauridae.
AUUUUUUGAUUAUUUUAGUAUCAUAGAUAUCUUUGGUUGGUAUAGUCCAACGUUUAAUUUCCAAAGGGGUGGGGGAAACAAGCUGUCAGGAACAGUUAAAAAUUCAGAGGGAUGGGGUUCAUGAAGUAAAUCUCUUCCAUUAGAGGGGGGCGGGGGUAUUGCCUAGAACUGCACAUUGGAAUACUUACUCUGGGUUACUCUUUUUCCCUUUGGUAUACAGAGUGGUAUAAUUUGGCAGCCUUUUAUUCGGGUUUUGUAACUUUAACACCCAAUGGUUCAAACAACCAAUAUCAAGUGCUGGAUGCUCAGGCAACGGUCAUGCAUGUUUUCUUCCAGCAUUUUUCCUUACAAAGUUUACAUAAACAACGACAUUCAUCGGGUUUCACCACAAAGGCCAGGACACAGUUACCAUAUUUACACUUAUGGAGAAUUAAUAUAUUAAAGUAUACAAUUGAAGUAUAUAUAAUAUAUACACUACAGGGCGUAUAAAAAAAACUGAACAGAUUUGAAAUUGCUCUCGAUUUUACAAAACAGCCUUUAGUAUUUA